GCUUCCGAUGCUCAGACACCUUCACGCUGUGCAGCAGCUGCUUGGGGCUUAGAUCGUUUUUGGGGAACAGCGUUUGUCGAGGUUGCCGGUUCAAUCCCCAGCAGCAGAGGCUCCAGGGGUCGUACCUGAGGGUCUGCCUCAGGUGCUCCCUGGGCGAGACCGGGUCAAACCCUGGACCGCGUCGGGCAUCAGCAGCUGUUGAGUCUGACUUGAUGAUCUCACAGCAUCACGCCGAUGAGUCACGUUUAUGGAGGAUUUACGCAGUAUCACAAAGGAAAUGAAAGAGUCAAAAUGUGUAGAUCAAAGCUCAGACGCUGCUGCGGCUGCGUGGCCUCCAAACGUGACAAUGUCACACCCGCUCCGGUGUCCUCACUGAUGUUCGCCGCGUAUUGUUUGCGUGAACACCUGAACCAGCUGAGGCACAGGUGAGCGGAUGAAAAGCGUAACCCGAGUCCUGAACUCACCACGCUGACGUUUCCACCUGCAGACUGAAGGGAGGUUCCACGGACGCGUGAGGCUGCUGCCCAAGUUCUGCGUGGGCUGUCCCGAGGUCAGUAAACGCACCGCCGCUUCUGCUUCGUGAGCACACACACACAAAGCAGUGAUUCACACCUGGCUCCAGACGGCCUCCACUCACAUACAGUACCUGCUGCGUUUUACGAGGAGGAAGUGUGUGAGGGGCGGCCUUCCUCUUCCUUGUUGCCCCAGGGACGAUGCUGGGCUUUCCCCGCAUCACAGGCCAGUGUUUGUGCACGCGGCACGUACGAUCUGUGCAGUGAGAGCAACACAAGGUUAAAGCUGCAGAAACCGCUCCCACCGGUUAAUGAUCAGUCCAUCGGCCUCGGCGCUUCCUGGAGUCAUCGUCACAGCACGAAGCAGGAAACGAUCCCAGGGGAAAGUCCGGGGUUGGCUGGAACGUUGGACAGAAGCGCUGGGUUCUAGGCUCCUCUGAACAUGAACGUGUCUGACCUCAGCAGGCCGUCGGCUGGUUGGAGAUGCGACAGGUGGUGGACGUGUACCAGAGGAGCGUCUUCAGCCGAGAGGCCGUCAGGAAGCUGCUGCCGGACCACUACAGCGACCUGCUGCACCGCCUGCAGCACACGCUGCAGCACUGCGUUUUUUCUUCUCAACCUUCAAAAUGGUUCAAAACCAUUAGAAAACUGGAGAAAAAAAUUAAAAAGAAGAAACGAGAUGAAGGGGCUCUGAAAGCUGUUGGAGAGUUCACCUUUGUGCUCCGGUGGAUUAACGAACUGACGCAGCAGCACCAGUAGAUCCGCACCAGUAAAGCAGCAGCAGCAGCACCAGCAUCAGAAGAUCAGCAGGACCAGUAGAUCAGCAGGACCAGUAGAGCAGCACCAGUAGAGCAGCACCAGCAGCCUGACCAUCAGUAUUCACAUGGCUUCCACCAGCGCCAGCAGGGCUUCACACCUGGAAACGCGUCUAGAUGCACUGACCUCAUCGCUCCAGGAGCAUUUCUUUCAUUUUGCAUCUGUGGGAUUCGUUAAAUUCAGGCGAAGUUGCCUGCGGUGAUUGUCCUCCGUCGCCUGGAUGGAGCCUCUUGAUGAUGUUUUUCAAGUAUUGAUUAGUUUGUGUUUUAAUGUUGUAGCUUUAUUUGCUAAAUAAGUUAUUUUCAGGAAAUAUUUAUUUUUGAAUAUGAAGACGACUCAAUGUCUUAGAAACUUAAUAUAUUGAAUUCAGACAAGAUGAAGUAUAUUAUUUAUAUGAAUUUGUGGACUAGACCGUGAAUGAAAUAAAAC
RNAcentral lists this long non-coding RNA (1757 nucleotides) under Betta splendens (Siamese fighting fish). RNAcentral's name for it is "lncRNA (ENSBSLG00000011264.1)". The record is from RNAcentral. Lineage: Eukaryota; Metazoa; Chordata; Actinopteri; Anabantiformes; Osphronemidae.